UACGAACCGUGCGAACGUUGUUCGGAAUCACUGGGCUUAAAGGGCGCGUAGGCGGGUCGGCAAGUCCGGGGUGAAAGCCCCCAGCUCAACUGGGGAAGGGCCUUGGAAACUGCCGGUCUCGAGGGAGGUAGGGGCCUGUGGAACUUCGGGUGGAGCGGUGAAAUGCGUUGAUAUCCGAAGGAACGCCGGUGGCGAAAGCGACGGGCUGGAUCUCUUCUGACGCUGAGGCGCGAAAGCUAGGGUAGCGAACGGG
This 253-nucleotide ribosomal RNA is filed under the name uncultured bacterium. RNAcentral describes it as "partial 16S ribosomal RNA". It matches the Rfam family "Bacterial small subunit ribosomal RNA", at positions 524 to 776 of the family's 1533-position model. The record is from RNAcentral.